RNAcentral lists this ribosomal RNA (598 nucleotides) under Ipomoea purpurea (common morning-glory). Its description in RNAcentral is "eukaryotic LSU rRNA". The stretch from base 179 to 334 matches the Rfam family "5.8S ribosomal RNA". The record is from RNAcentral. Lineage: Eukaryota; Viridiplantae; Streptophyta; Magnoliopsida; Solanales; Convolvulaceae.
UUUCCGUAGGUGAACCUGCGGAAGGAUCAUUGUCGAAACCUGCCACAGCAGAACGACCAGAGAACACGUACCCCCGGCGCGGAACGCGCCAAGGAAUACCGCAUCGAGACGGCCCGCCGCCCUUGCACCGUUAUCGCGGAUUGCUUGGGCGGCGUCGGCGUCUUACUUAACAAAAUACGACUCUCGGCAACGGAUAUCUCGGCUCUCGCAUCGAUGAAGAACGUAGCGAAAUGCGAUACUUGGUGUGAAUUGCAGAAUCCCGUGAACCAUCGAGUCUUUGAACGCAAGUUGCGCCCGAAGCCGUUAGGCCGAGGGCACGUCUGCCUGGGCGUCACGCAUCGCGUCGCCCCCUUUCUUGGUCGAGCGGCCGAGCUUGGGGAGCGGAUGGUGGCCUCCCGUGCCCCCUAACUCGGGGUGCGGCUGGCUCAAAUGCGAGUCCCCGGCGGCGGAUGUCACGGCGAGUGGUGGUCGUACCCAGUGUGCAUAUCUCCGCGUCGUGGCCCCGUCGUUCGUGGGCAAAAGACCCUUCGAACGAGCUGCAGCAGUGUGGCUCUCCGACCGCGACCCCAGGUCAGGCGGGAUUACCCGCUGAGUUUAA